This 468-nucleotide ribosomal RNA is filed under the name uncultured bacterium. RNAcentral describes it as "partial 16S ribosomal RNA". It matches the Rfam family "Bacterial small subunit ribosomal RNA", at positions 28 to 507 of the family's 1533-position model. The record is from RNAcentral.
GACGAACGCUGGCGGCGUGCUUAACACAUGCAAGUCGAACGGAAAGGCCCUGAUUUUUUGGGGUUCUCGAGUGGCGAACGCGUGAGUAACACGAGAGUAACCUGCCCUUGACUUUGGGGUAACUUCAGGAAACUAGGGCUAAUACCGGAUAGGAGCUCCUCCUGCAUUGUGGGGGUUGGAAAUUUUCGGCUGGUGGGGAUGGACUAGCGGGUUAUCGGCUUGUUGGUGGGGUAGUGGCUUGCCAAGGCAUUGACGGGUAGCCGGCCUGAGAGGGUGACCGGGGACCUGAGGACUGAGAUACGGACCAGAGUCCACCGGUGGGCCGCGGUGGGGCGCCUUGCCCCGUGGGCGGAAGCCUGAUGCAGCAGCGCCGCGUGUGGGAAGCCGGCCUUUUGGUUGUAAACAGCUUUAGGCUGUGACGAAGCGUGAGUGACGGUACUCGAUAAAGAAGCACCGGCUCACUACGUG